This 429-nucleotide ribosomal RNA is filed under the name Gemmatimonadota bacterium. RNAcentral's name for it is "Gemmatimonadetes bacterium partial 16S ribosomal RNA". It matches the Rfam family "Bacterial small subunit ribosomal RNA", at positions 355 to 776 of the family's 1533-position model. Lineage: Bacteria; Pseudomonadati; Gemmatimonadota. The record is from RNAcentral.
UAGGGAAUCUUCGGCAAUGGACGAAAGUCUGACCGAGCAACGCCGCGUGAGUGAAGAAGGUUUUCGGAUCGUAAAACUCUGUUGUUAGAGAAGAACAAGGACGUUAGUAACUGAACGUCCCCUGACGGUAUCUAACCAGAAAGCCACGGCUAACUACGUGCCAGCAGCCGCGGUAAUACGUAGGUGGCAAGCGUUGUCCGGAUUUAUUGGGCGUAAAGCGAGCGCAGGCGGUUUCUUAAGUCUGAUGUGAAAGCCCCCGGCUCAACCGGGGAGGGUCAUUGGAAACUGGGGGACUUGAGUGCAGAAGAGGGGAGUGGAAUUCCAUGUGUAGCGGUGAAAUGCGUAGAUAUAUGGAGGAACACCAGUGGCGAAGGCGGCUCUCUGGACUGUAACUGACGCUGAGGCUCGAAAGCGUGGGGAGCAAACAGG